CUCUACACCACACAAGUGUAUGUGCUAUAUCUCAACAAGUUGCGGCAAAAAAAUAAAUAUGUCUUAUCAAUUAUACCGCAACACAACUUUGGGAAAUACUUUGCAGGAGAGCCUUGACGAACUUAUACAGUAUGGACAGAUUACGCCGGCCCUUGCUUUCAAGGUGCUUCUACAAUUUGAUAAGAGUAUCAAUACAGCACUUAACCAGCGAGUAAAAGCCCGAGUCACCUUUAAGGCUGGAAAACUAAACACUUACCGAUUUUGCGAUAAUGUGUGGACGUUAAUGUUAAACGACGUGGAGUUUCGCGAGGUUCAUGAAUUUGUAAAGGUUGACAAAGUGAAAAUCGUAGCUUGCGACGGAAAGAGUGGGGAAUUCAAUGGCUAACUUCAAUACAAACCCAUUAGCUUGUCCUUCGUAAACGCCCUAUUCACGCAUUUUCCAAUUAAGAUGCCGAUUCCCCGAUAUCUGGAGAAGUUCUUACAUCUUCCCUCUCUAUAAAAAAGGACCUAAAUGUGACAUUGAAAAUUACAGAGGGAUUUCUAAACUCUCUGCUAUCCCCAAACUUCUUAAAAAACUGAUGACCUCUCAGUUACAGCACCAUUGCAGGUCCAU
Molecule: RNA transcript, 613 nt
Organism: Scaptodrosophila lebanonensis
Lineage: Eukaryota; Metazoa; Arthropoda; Insecta; Diptera; Drosophilidae
Gene: TfIIA-S
Gene name: transcription initiation factor IIA subunit 2
Exons: 3
Source: RefSeq, a predicted model, not a curated record